RNAcentral lists this ribosomal RNA (414 nucleotides) under uncultured microorganism. Its description in RNAcentral is "bacterial SSU rRNA". It matches the Rfam family "Archaeal small subunit ribosomal RNA", at positions 459 to 872 of the family's 1478-position model. The record is from RNAcentral.
CAGCCGCCGCGGUAAUACCGGCGGCCCGAGUGGCGGCCACUAUUAUUGGGCUUAAAGCGUCCGUAGCCGGGUUGGUUAGUCUCCCGGGAAAUCUGGCCGCUUAACGGUCAGAAUUCCGGGAGAUACUGCCAGCCUAGGGACCGGGAGAGGCCGAGGGUAUUCCCGGAGUAGGGGUGAAAUCCUAUAAUCCCGGGAGGACCACCUGUGGCGAAGGCGCUCGGCUGGAACGCGUCCGACGGUGAGGGACGAAGGCCAGGGGAGCAAACCGGAUUAGAUACCCGGGUAGUCCUGGCUGUAAACGAUGCGGACUUUGUGUCGGACAAGCUAUGAGCUUGUCCGGUGCCGGAGGGAAACCGUUAAGUCCGCCGCCUGGGGAGUACGGCCGCAAGGUUGAAACUUAAAGGAAUUGGCGGG